GAUCAGGCUCAGGACGAACGCUGGCGGCGCGCCUAACACAUGCAAGUCGAACGAGCGAGAGAGAGCUUGCUUUCUCGAGCGAGUGGCGAACGGGUGAGUAACGCGUGAGGAACCUGCCUCAAAGAGGGGGACAACAGUUGGAAACGACUGCUAAUACCGCAUAAGCCCACGGCUCGGCAUCGAGCAGAGGGAAAAGGAGCAAUCCGCUUUGAGAUGGCCUCGCGUCCGAUUAG
This 233-nucleotide ribosomal RNA is filed under the name uncultured bacterium. RNAcentral describes it as "partial 16S ribosomal RNA". It matches the Rfam family "Bacterial small subunit ribosomal RNA", at positions 15 to 244 of the family's 1533-position model. The record is from RNAcentral.